UAGGGAAUAUUGGGCAAUGGAGGAGACUCUGACCCAGCCAUGCCGCGUGCCGGAUGAAGGCCUUCUGGGUCGUAAACGGCUUUUUUCCGGGAAGAACCGGUUCUGUGCGCAGGGCUUUGACGGUACCGGGAGAAUAAGCACCGGCUAACUCCGUGCCAGCAGCCGCGGUAAUACGGAGGGUGCGAGCGUUGUCCGGAUUUAUUGGGUUUAAAGGGUGCGUAGGCGGCCGCGUAAGUCUGGGGUGAAAGCCCGUUGCUCAACAACGGAACUGCCCUGGAAACUGUGUGGCUUGAGUCCAGACGAGGUUGGCGGAAUGGGCGGUGUAGCGGUGAAAUGCAUAGAUACCGUCCAGAACCCCGAUUGCGAAGGCAGCUGACUAGGCUGGUACUGACGCUGAGGCACGAAAGCGUGGGGAGCGAACA
Molecule: ribosomal RNA, 422 nt
Filed under: uncultured bacterium
Lineage: Bacteria
Description: bacterial SSU rRNA
Rfam family: Bacterial small subunit ribosomal RNA
Source: RNAcentral